RNAcentral lists this transfer RNA (73 nucleotides) under Paramuricea clavata. It matches the Rfam family "tRNA". From Rfam's summary of the family: Transfer RNA (tRNA) molecules are approximately 80 nucleotides in length. Lineage: Eukaryota; Metazoa; Cnidaria; Anthozoa; Malacalcyonacea; Plexauridae. The record is from Rfam by way of RNAcentral.
GACCGCGUAGCUCAGUUGGAAGAGCAUUGGGCUAGUAUUCCAAAGGUCGUAGGUUCGAAUCCCGCCGUGGGCA